RNA transcript from Neltuma alba, 1439 nucleotides. It is a transcript of the gene named methyl-CpG-binding domain protein 4-like protein, with no coding region annotated. The transcript has 7 exons. NCBI's taxonomy places the organism in Eukaryota, Viridiplantae, Streptophyta, Magnoliopsida, Fabales, Fabaceae. The record is from RefSeq and is a predicted model, not a curated record.
CUUUCCCUAUUGCAUAAUUCGGAGUUCCCCUCUCAGUUCCGCUGCGGCAGGGUUGAAAGUUGAAACCACCGUCGUCGAGAAGUUUCCGAUCGUCUCAGGAUCAUGGAGGGUUUUAGUGUGGACGAUUCCUCGAAUCCCUUCGCCCGCUUCGCAUUCACAGGCAAAGUUGAUCCAUGGAAGCCGGGAUUUGCUACCCGUACGGCACCAUCCAGGCUUAUACCUGUUAAUAGUAACUACAGAGCCAACAUACCUCCUCUUUCGAAGGGUGUGGUUAAGAAAAAGCGUGUGGGUGUAGUUAAGAAAAAGGGUUCGGAUAAGAAAAAGAGCGUGGAUGAGAGAAAGUCAAAACCCAAACCUCUUAACGCUGGUGAGAAAAAGAAGGAUGCCUACAAAAGAAAAGCUCCGAAUAAUACUUGGAAACCUCCACGAUAUGAGCCUCCUCUUAUCCAAGAGGAUCAUACUCAUGAUCCUUGGAGGGUGUUGGCUCUUUGUAUGCUGCUAAAUCGUACCAGUGGAAAGCAGGUUAGAGGAAUUAUUUCAAAGUUUUUUGAUCUGUUCCCAACACAAACAUGCAUUCAAGUCCCUUCUAAUGUAUUGGAAAAGGAAAUCAGAAGUCUAGGUUUCCAACACGAAAGGACAAAAAAAUUAAAACGCUUAUCUCAAGAGUAUUUAGGAAAAAGUUGGACACAUGUGCACCAACUAUAUGGUGUUGGCAGGUAUGCAGCUGACGCAUAUGCUAUAUUUUGUAAUGGGAUGUGGAAUGAUGUGAAGCCGGAGGAUCAUAUGCUAACUCGUUAUUGGGAGUUUCUUUGUGAAACGAGGGGCAGUUGAUGGAGUGCCUGUGUCUCUUGGGAAGACACCUGCAAUUAUUUUGAGGUGCACAUGGCUAUGGUUUUGAAGCUUAGGUUGCUGACUUGUAGAUCUUUUAUUGACAAAUGAAAGUAGGAACUCUUGAAGAAUUUUAACUCUGGUUCAUGUAAAGCUGAUGUUUUUGGUGGUUGACUUGGAGAAUGACUAUCUAGUGGACUUUUAUUAGACUUCACUAAGGGUAAUGAUCAUCAUCAUCAUCAUCAUCAAGAUGCGCAAGAACCGUUCGAAAUAAAAUCGGCUGUUUCCUUUCGAAAACGCUAGAUGAAAAGGAGAUUUCUAGACCACCAUCCAUUUACCGCAAUCAGUAUUGAAAUUAGAAGGCUCAACCACAUGCAGCCAUUGCCUAUCUGGUUGUCUGAAAUGGAAUGCCCGAAGUCACAGCAUCUAAACCCUAUCUACGUUGCGGUGAAUAAAGGAAUUUGUACGUUCCCAAAUAACAAUCAGGCCCAAAGAUUGUGCCUCAUUGGAUCGGUCUCCUUGUUUACCAUAUUACUAGUAUAUCGUGCUGGGUGAAAAUAAUUGUUUCAUAACAUAAUGAUUAUUAAUGUAUGAGAUUAUUUAUUUUUGAA